UAUAAAAUAAAUUUUUUUUUAUAAAUUUGUUUUUUAAUUUAAUAUAUAAAUAAAUUUUAGUAAAAAAAUUAAUUUAUAAAAUUUAAAUAAUUUUAAAAUUAUAAAUAAAAAUUAAUUAAUAUAUAAAAUAGUUAUUUUAAUGAAAAUUAUUUACAGAAAUUUAAAAUAAAUAUUAAUAAAUAAAAGUGCCAGCAAUUGCGGUUAAACUUAGAAUAUAAAUAAAUUUAAUAUAAUUAUUAAAAAAAUAUUAUUAUUUAAAAUUUAUUAAAUUAAAAUUUUUAUUUAUGGUGAAAUAUAAUAAAAAUUAAAAAGAUUUAAUUAUUUUAGAUUAAAAAUAAAUUUAAAUAAAUUUAUUAAAAAAUUAGGAUUAGAUACCCUAUUAUUUUUAUGAAAAAUUUUUAAUUAAAUAUUAAAUGUAGAUCAUUAAAAAUAAAAAAUUUGGCGGUAUUUUAUAAUAUUAGAGGAACUUGUUAAAUAAUUGAUAAUCCACGAGUAGAGUUACUUAAUUAAAAUAUUUUUAUAUAUUGUUGUUUGAAAGUUAUAUUAAGAGAUAAAAAUUAAUAAAUUUAAUAUAUAAUUAUAAUUCAAAUCAAAAUGUAGAAUAAUUAAGAUUAUAAUGAGUUACAAUUAAUUUAAUUAAUUUAAAUAAGAUUUUAAUUAAAUUUUAUAUAAAUAUUGGAUUUAAAUGUAAACUUAUAUAAAUUUAUAGAUUGAAUUUUUUUUAAAAUAUGUACAAAUUGCCCGUCAUUUUCAUUAAAAUAAUUUGUGAGAAAAGUCGUAACAAAGUAAAUAUAUUGGAAGGUGUAUUUAGAAUUAAUAAUAAUUAAUAAAUU
RNAcentral lists this non-coding RNA (833 nucleotides) under Formica candida. The record is from RNAcentral. Lineage: Eukaryota; Metazoa; Arthropoda; Insecta; Hymenoptera; Formicidae.